CAAUAGCGUAUAUUUAAGUUGUUGCAGUUAAAAAGCUCGUAGUUGGAUUUCGGGUGGGACGCAGCGGUCUCGCAUUGCGUUUGUACUGCUGCAGCCCUCCUUCUUGCCGGGGGCGGCCUCUCGGACUUCACUGUCUGGGGGUCAGAAUCGGCGAUGUUACUUUGAGUAAAUUAGAGUGUUCAAAGCAAGCUUACGCUCUGAAUAUAAUAGCAUGGGAUAACACGACAGGACUCUGGCCUAUCGUGUUGGUCUAUAGGACCAGAGUAAUGAUUAAGAGGGACAGUCGGGGACAUUCGUAUUCCGUUGUCAGAGGUGAAAUUCUUGGAUUUACGGAAGACGAACAUCUGCGAAAGCAUUUGCCAAGGAUGUUUNCAUUG
Molecule: ribosomal RNA, 377 nt
Filed under: uncultured eukaryote
Lineage: Eukaryota
Description: partial 18S ribosomal RNA
Rfam family: Eukaryotic small subunit ribosomal RNA
Source: RNAcentral